RNAcentral lists this ribosomal RNA (1176 nucleotides) under Triticum aestivum (bread wheat). RNAcentral's name for it is "partial small subunit ribosomal RNA". The record is from RNAcentral. Lineage: Eukaryota; Viridiplantae; Streptophyta; Magnoliopsida; Poales; Poaceae.
AUGGUUCAUAAGGCUAAGGACGGCGGCCACAUCCGCGGUGUUGUUCCACACCUUAUCGCGGGUGGUCUCAUGCACCUUCAAUAUGCGGACGACACCUUGCUGCUCUUUGAGCCUGACGAUCAUAGUGUAGCCUCGAUCAAACUCAUUCUCCUCGCGUUCGAGAUCAUUUCUGGCCUUAAGAUCAAUUUCCUUAAGAGCGAGGUGAUUGCCAUUGGGAUGGACCCUCUCCUCGCUGUCCGUAUCGCCAAUCUGCUUAAUUGCAAGCUAGGGAGCUUUCCAAUUAAGUACUUGGGCCUUCCUAUCUCGGAUAAACACAUUUCUAUCCUUGAGUGGGAACCCCUGUACGGCAAGGUGGCGAACCGGGUUAGCCCUUGGCACGGCCGGUUCCUCUCCUCGGCGGCCAGGCUGAUCCUGACUAAUUCCAGCCUCUCUUCCCUCCCUCUGUUCACAAUGGGCAUGUUUUUGCUGGCUGAUGGGGUUCAUGCCAAGCUCGAUACCCACCGGUCCAAUUCCAAUCCGCCAGCUGUCUCUUUCAAAAGACCCCUCUUCGCUAACGAACGAGCCUGCUGGGACGGGCUUGUUGCUACUUUGGAUGGAGUGGUUCUCCGCCCUGAGGCCUACUCGGUCUCCUGGGCCCUCUCAUGCUUUGGGAAGUUUUCUGUACAAUCCCUUUACAACAAACUGACUGAGGGACCCACCCUGGACAUAGCUAGGGGGCUAUGGAAAGCGUCUAUCCCCCUGAAGAUCAAAAUUUUCUUAUGGCAAAUGUUUCGUGACUGCCUGCCGUCCUCUAAUAACAUCGCUCUUAGGAACGGGCCUUCCGACGGCUCUUGCGUGCUAUGCGGACAGCAGGAAGAUGCCAAUCACAUCUUUUUUCACUGCCACCUUGCCCACUUUGCUUGGAGUGCGGUUAGGGAGGCUUUUGAUCAGAAUUGGAACCCGCUCUCGGCUUCGGAUCUUCGUGUUAUUCUUGUCGCUCAUAGGGGCGGUUUUGGGCAUGUGAUGUGGAGAUGCGUGGAUAAGCCCCCCUCCCUCCAUGCUCUCGACGUCAGGGUUGUUGAAAGCGUAGUCGGUAAUGGGGUGCGCAGAGAGCACACCCGAAUCUUCGCAGGAGGACGGGAUAGCCCAUGGCCAAGACUAGAUCGGGACAGGGCUACAUAUUUUGCACCAAUAUGA